This 41-nucleotide small RNA is filed under the name Anaerobutyricum hallii. RNAcentral describes it as "CRISPR_Spacer". Lineage: Bacteria; Bacillati; Bacillota; Clostridia; Lachnospirales; Lachnospiraceae. The record is from RNAcentral.
GCGAUGAAGGUACAUUAUGUACAAAAAAAAUUUAUUUAACU